RNAcentral lists this long non-coding RNA (232 nucleotides) under Hordeum vulgare. Its description in RNAcentral is "long non-coding RNA (HVUL_LNC002835)". Lineage: Eukaryota; Viridiplantae; Streptophyta; Magnoliopsida; Poales; Poaceae. The record is from RNAcentral.
UUCCAUAAAAAGCUUAUCUUGGUCUAGUCAUCUGGUGGCGGCCGAGCAUGUAUGGCCACUAGAAUCUACUACUACUCCUACAUGUCUCCGACCUCUUUCAUACAUGCAUAAUGUUUGGAUCUAGCUACCUAGAAAAGUAUACUACGCUGCAGAAUGGUCUAUAAAAUGGAUGUGGUGUUUUUAUACACUUAUAAUGAUUCACAUCCACGUUCACUUUGUGGGUCACAAAUGG